Molecule: long non-coding RNA, 413 nt
Filed under: Rattus norvegicus (Norway rat)
Lineage: Eukaryota; Metazoa; Chordata; Mammalia; Rodentia; Muridae
Description: long non-coding RNA NONRATT031776
Source: RNAcentral
CUCCUUCGCAGUGGCAGCCGUUUCCGCAUCCGAAAGACAGUUUACGCUUUUGGAAGGAGGCAGCAAACGCGAUUGAAGCGGGUUUGAGCCCAGCAAAUGCCCAAAGAGGCUCCACAUAAGCCCUUCUCCAAACAUAUGUUCACACCGCACUUCGAGGCUAUGGAACUGGGAUCGCCAGCGCCACCGUCAAAAGUCCAAGUCUUGGGGCCAACGUAAAAGGCGGGAUUUCUGAGGUGUGUAUCUAGAAUAUGCUCAGCCAUCUUUCGAGGAGGGGGUAACACUCAGGACCCAAGGUCAACUAACUAACGAAAGCUGGAUGCAGAUAUGGCUCCUUGGCCAGGCGCUGAAGCCCACCUCGGGCUUCGAAGCUGAGGAUCACACUGGGGUACGCAGGCGUUGGCUGGAGGGAGGGG